UCAGAAGCCUCACCGAAGUAGUGCAGGCCAUGCAGUAGUAGCAGUAGUAGCAACAGCCACAGGUAUCAGUGCGGCUGGAAAGAGCAUCGUCGGAGUUCCAAAAUCUGGCAAUAGGGCGGGCCACUUGGGCUAGUCGCCCUGUCUUCCCCAGAAAGGAGAAGCCGAGGGUGGAGAGCCCUCAGUCUGAUCAUGAUUCCACCCCUGGAGGAUCUCUUCCUCCAUUCUACUAGAAGACCCUCAAGACUCACAGUCGAGAGGACCUCCUGGAUCAAAGGCUCCAGGAGAUGAACCGGUGGAUCGAAGAGCUCCGCCACGCUCUCCCUGC
RNAcentral lists this long non-coding RNA (325 nucleotides) under Elaeis guineensis (African oil palm). RNAcentral's name for it is "long non-coding RNA (EGUI_LNC043499)". The record is from RNAcentral. Lineage: Eukaryota; Viridiplantae; Streptophyta; Magnoliopsida; Arecales; Arecaceae.